Non-coding RNA from Capsicum annuum, 72 nucleotides. The record is from Rfam. Lineage: Eukaryota; Viridiplantae; Streptophyta; Magnoliopsida; Solanales; Solanaceae.
UUCCUUGUAGCUCAGUGGUAGAGUGGUUGGCUACUAAUAAAUUGGUUGUAGGUUCAAAUCCUACUUGGAGAG